UUUCGAUUUGGCGAUGGAGUUCGCCAUAACCGCCCCGGUGAUGUUCCCCGGUGCUGAUGACUCCUGGCAGCCC
Molecule: non-coding RNA, 73 nt
Organism: Acidobacteria bacterium 13_1_20CM_58_21
Lineage: Bacteria; Pseudomonadati; Acidobacteriota
Source: Rfam